AGAGUGAACGCUGGCGGCAGGCCUAACACAUGCAAGUCGAGCGGCAGCGGGUCGUAGCAAUACGAUGCCGGCGAGUGGCGGACGGGUGAGGAAUACAUCGGAAUCUACCUUGUCGUGGGGGAUAACGUAGGGAAACUUACGCUAAUACCGCAUACGAACUAUGGUUGAAAGCGGCGGACCGCAAGGCGUCGCGCGAUUGGAUGAGCCGAUGUCCGAUUAGCUAGUUGGUGGGGUAAAGGCCUACCAAGGCGACGAUCCAUAGCUGGUCUUAGAGGAUGAUCAGCCACACUGGGACUGAGACACGGCCCAGACUCCUACGGGAGCAGCAGUGGGGAAUAUUGGACAAUGGGACGAAAGCCUGAUCCAG
RNAcentral lists this ribosomal RNA (367 nucleotides) under uncultured soil bacterium. RNAcentral's name for it is "bacterial SSU rRNA". It matches the Rfam family "Bacterial small subunit ribosomal RNA", at positions 26 to 391 of the family's 1533-position model. The record is from RNAcentral.